GGACCCUUCGGGGUUAGUGGCGGACGGGUGAGUAACACGUGGGAACGUGCCUUUAGGUUCGGAAUAGCUCCUGGAAACGGGUGGUAAUGCCGAAUGUGCCCUUCGGGGGAAAGAUUUAUCGCCUUUAGAGCGGCCCGCGUCUGAUUAGCUAGUUGGUGAGGUAAUGGCUCACCAAGGCGACGAUCAGUAGCUGGUCUGAGAGGAUGACCAGCCACAUUGGGACUGAGACACGGCCCAAACUCCUACGGGAGGCAGCAGUGGGGAAUCUUGCGCAAUGGGCGAAAGCCUGACGCAGCCAUGCCGCGUGAAUGAUGAAGGUCUUAGGAUUGUAAAAUUCUUUCACCGGGGACGAUAAUGACGGUACCCGGAGAAGAAGCCCCGGCUAACUUCGUGCCAGCAGCCGCGGUAAUACGAAGGGGGCUAGCGUUGCUCGGAAUUACUGGGCGUAAAGGGCGCGUAGGCGGAUCGUUAAGUCAGAGGUGAAAUCCCGGAGCUCAACUUCGGAACUGCCUUUGAUACUGGCGAUCUUGAGUGUGAGAGAGGUAUGUGGAACUCCGAGUGUAGAGGUGAAAUUCGUAGAUAUUCGGAAGAACACCAGUGGCGAAGGCGACAUACUGGCUCAUUACUGACGC
Molecule: ribosomal RNA, 632 nt
Filed under: Brevundimonas terrae
Lineage: Bacteria; Pseudomonadati; Pseudomonadota; Alphaproteobacteria; Caulobacterales; Caulobacteraceae
Description: bacterial SSU rRNA
Rfam family: Bacterial small subunit ribosomal RNA
Source: RNAcentral